CUGGUUUGUUCCCACCUCAGCUGGUUACUAGCCAUGUAUCCUUAAGCAAGUCACUAAGCUUUACUGAGGCUGAAUAUCCACUUCCAUAAAAUGAGAUUAAUGUUGCUUGCUUCAAGGUAUCCUUAUAAGGAUUAAGCCUGGUAACUUGGCUAAAUAUCCCAUACAAUGCCUGGCUCAUGAGUGGUAUUUAAGUAUUGACAGAAUGGCAGAAAGUUAAAAUAAAAUUAUUUAAGUCUCAGUUUCAUAAAGGUCCCAAUAUAAUAGAUGCUACCUUCCAAUGGGGAAGCAAGAGAAGACAGUGCUGUGUCUGCAAGAGAAGGUGGCAGAAAUAAGUUUUGGGCCCUUGCCUCCCACCCAGAGUCCAUCAGGCUUCUUCCGGAAAGGACAAGAAGGCAAGAGGGAGUAAAAGAGCCAUGUGGAGAAAGAAAAGGGGAGCCCACUACGAACUCCCUCAGAGUGCAGGUGGCCAGCGGGUGGUGAGCCCAGAUCCAGGAAAGGGAUGUAGCUGCACCCUUGAAUGAAGCUGAAGUUUUGCUUGUUUUGCUGGAACAGACAAGCUGCUUCUUGGUGACCUCUAUGUACAGCCAGAAGAGGUAUAAGGCUAACCCUGAAUAUAAUCCAGGAGCAGAGCAUGACCAUCCCGAUAGAAUAUAUGUGGGGUAUACAACUUAAGAUGCUUUGUAUCCAGUCCAAACUGGGCCAGUAAUGCUCUGCGGCGUCAUAGGUAUUGAACUUUCAUCUACUGAAACACAUUUCAGUGGAAAUCUCCAUUCCUCAAACAUCACUAUUUGGUUAUAAAAAAAAAAAAUAGCACCCAGGGGCACCUGGGUGGCUCGAUCGGUUAAGCGUCCAACUGUUGAUUUCAGCUCAGGUCUUGAUCUCAUGGUUUGUGAGCUCAAGCCCUGCCUCGGGCUCUCUGCUGGCAGUGUGGAGCCUUCUUGGGAUUCUCUGUCUCCCUCUCUCUCUGCCUCUUUAUCUCUCUCUCUCAAAAUAAAUAAAUAAAUAAACAUAAAAAAAAAACA
Molecule: long non-coding RNA, 1022 nt
Filed under: Felis catus (domestic cat)
Lineage: Eukaryota; Metazoa; Chordata; Mammalia; Carnivora; Felidae
Description: lncRNA (ENSFCAG00000048414.1)
Source: RNAcentral